UACGUAGGGAGCAAGCGUUGUCCGGAAUCAUUGGGCGUAAAGCGCGCGUAGGUGGCCUCAUAAGUCCGCUGUGAAAGUCAAAGGCUCAACCUUUGAAAGCCGGUGGAUACUGUGGGGCUAGAGUACGGAAGAGGCGAGUGGAAUUCCUGGUGUAGCGGUGGAAUGCGCAGAUAUCAGGAGGAACACCAAUGGCGAAGGCGGGUCUCUGGACAGUUCCUGACACUGAGGCACGAAGGCCAGGGGAGCAAACGGG
Molecule: ribosomal RNA, 253 nt
Filed under: uncultured bacterium
Lineage: Bacteria
Description: partial 16S ribosomal RNA
Rfam family: Bacterial small subunit ribosomal RNA
Source: RNAcentral